AGUUCGGAUUGUAGUCUGCAACCCGACUACAUGAAGCUGGAAUCGCUAGUAAUCGCGAAUCAGAAUGUCGCGGUGAAUACGUUCCCGGGUCUUGUACACACCGCCCGUCACACCAUGGGAGUCGGAAAUGCCCGAAGUCAGUGACCCAACCGCAAGGAGGGAGCUGCCGAAGGUGGAGCCGGUAACUGGGGUGAAGUCGUAACAAGGUAUC
RNAcentral lists this ribosomal RNA (211 nucleotides) under uncultured bacterium. Its description in RNAcentral is "partial 16S ribosomal RNA". It matches the Rfam family "Bacterial small subunit ribosomal RNA", at positions 1290 to 1500 of the family's 1533-position model. The record is from RNAcentral.